Molecule: long non-coding RNA, 5451 nt
Filed under: Carassius auratus (goldfish)
Lineage: Eukaryota; Metazoa; Chordata; Actinopteri; Cypriniformes; Cyprinidae
Description: lncRNA (ENSCARG00000050824.1)
Source: RNAcentral
UGAAAAAUAAGAAAACAUAACCUUAUUGGAAAUUAUGAUACACUAUUUUUUUAAUUAAUUUAUUAAAGUUAAUUUGUUAACUGCAUAUUUAGUAUGACAGUUCUGUCAAGUUUACUAUGACACCUUUCAAAAAAAAUUGCAUCAAUUCAUCUCCUUGUCGCUAGGAGGCGCCAAAUAUGUAAAACAGUACUACCAGACUUAUUUACCUCCAGGUUAAUUCAAAACUUAAAAGUCUUAAAUUACUGUAAGACAAAUAUAUAAAUGCCUUUUUUGGCUGUUAUAGUUGUGUUAAAAUUAAUUUUUGGACGAUUCUGUUUUUUUAAACGCGACACGGAAAGACUCUUCCUCCUUCCUGAGCAUCCGGAUGGUGUUUAUUUACCAAGAGUAGCAAGAGAUACUGGAAAAGGCUUAAAUGCUCUUCCAAUUGGCAAAUACUUUGAGGCUAACUCUUCUCCUUUAAGGAGGUGUCUGGUUACCUCAGGUAAGCUACAGCUCAGUCUGCUUUGUUUUGGUUCGGCAUGUGGGUGACACACUUAUGUGGGUGUCACACCCUGCUUUAGGGUGCGUAGGUGUUAAGUCGAGAAACGUGAUUAUGCUGGGAUGACCUCUGGCAGCAGAGGUGGUGUGAGACAAAUAUUGUGGCGCAUGCUAUUUUGCCUGAGCUUUUACCAGUUGUAAAUAUUUACUUGCUCGAUUUUAUGUUUCCAUUUCAUUUGAUAUGUUUUCCGUAGGGGUGUGAGGAUUUUCCACCAUAGCAUCCAAAUACAAUUAUAUAAUCAAGUGUUGUGGCCUUACAGUAUCUCUGUACAGUGACUGAAAGAUCCAGACCCAAGGAUUUGACCUUCUGAGCAGACCUGGAUGACAUCCAUGUAAUUGUACCAAAUGCCAUCUGCCCUGUUUGUUCUUGUCCCAGACUCCCAAAGUCCUUGGCUCUUGGUACAUAUCCAGCCCACACCAGUAUGUUAUUUGAAUCAAAUUGCGGUAGAGUCACAGAGAAACAGAUCUGUUUCAUAAGAUAUAUGCAUUUGUAUCUAGCUGUUAUUAGGGAAUGAAAAUCAUCAUCACGGAUGUUGCACUAUGGAUGAGGUGUUGGAAGCGAGACCUUUUUUGAUUCACCUUAAAAUGACACGGUAAGAAACUGUUACGUCUACUAUGCAACAUUACUGUGUAAUUCUACUGUUUACUAUACAGUCAUCAGGACUAAAGUAUUGUCUUAUACAACCGUGGCUGAGCUGUAAAUAGGCUCCUCGUAACGUGUGCAGCAUUGAAAGGGUUGCGUUCAGGCACGAGAAUGAAUACUCGCCUAAUGUUUUCAGCAAUCAGAAAGUCAUGCUCCCAAAAUAAAAGAAAACGCUGUGCAAACAUGCUGCUUGUCAAGAGCUCAUUAAAGCAGAGAGGGGUUUAUAAUGCAGCAGAGACAUAGUAAAUCACUCUAUCCCCUGAAGCCCUGUUAGAAAGCCAGCCUUUUUUAGCCGUGUUUGCCCUCUUAUGAGUUAAUGUGCCACACCUCUAACCCACUGCUGUCAGACCUGCUGCCACAUUACCUCUGAAAGCAGCUAUUGGAACAGAAGACACAUUCAGCUCUCUUACAGAUGAACAAUCUGCUAACAUAUAAAAUAUUAUGCACACAGAUUUAUAUUGUGGCAUGAAUUUUGAUGGCAUUAUGUGUUGACACGUUUGAUCGCCUGUCCUCAUCUGAUCAGAAUCAAAAAGGAUAAACAAGCACGGAGAAUGACUGCUUUUUUGUUCAAAUUAAAUGCUGCUCUAGGUGCCCCACGAGGCCCCGCUGUCUGUUUUUGCAAGAGGUAAAUGCCCCCCAUUCAGCAGCCCAGUUAAUGUUAAUAGACGUUAUUUAAACAACUGUUAAACAGCGGAUUAAGUUGGAUUUGGCUCAAGCAGGCUUGAGGGAGCGGUGUUUUCCCUCUGUGUAUGCUUACACACACACACAUACGUGCAGGGUGACACACUAUGCAGGUAGACAGGAGCUUAGGGUGUCAAAAAUCAGGAUGUGCUACAUUAGGUCACCCAAACAAGUAUUGAUAAAGCCCAGGGUUUUAGUUUCCACGUGGACCGUUGGAUCCAGGGAAAGGUGCCACGCGACAUGCUUAGUGUGUUCUGCUGCGUCAUCCAUAUCUGCAUCCUGUUUAUUAAACUGUUUGGCUUGAGAGAUAAGGGACAGUCGAUUAAUGAGGACAUUCCCCUCGUGAAACCUGUAAAGCGCAUAUUGUUCUCAGACAGUUUUCUAUUUAUUGUAAUCCAUUUUUGAGUCAAUUUGUGAGAAUGUAAUAUUUUUUUUCUUUUUCUUUUUUUCCCUAAUUUUCUGAUUUUCAGAAUUCUGAAAUAUUACAGAAUAUUUAGUUUUUCCCUAAAGAAAAAAAAAUCAUAAGAAAUAAUUGUAUUAGAUUGGAUACAAAUAUCCAAACAAUCUUAGAGAAGCAAUUGUUACUGCCGUCAGUCUGCGAAGAGUACCACGGCCAUUUCCAAACAAUAUUAAAGGGAUAGUUCACCCAAAAAUCAAAAUUAUGUCAUUAAUAACUCACUCUCAUGUCGUUCCAAACCCAUGAUACGUCCGUUUAUCUUUGGAACACAGUUUAAGAUAUUUUAGAUUUAGUCCGAGAGCUCUCAGUCCCUCCAUUGAAGCUGUGUGUACGGUCUACUGUCCAUGUCCAGAAAGGUAAGAGAAACAUCAUCAAAGUAGUCCAUGUGACAUCAGAGGGUCCGUUAGAUUUUUUUUGAACCAUAGAAAAUACAUUUUGGUCUAAAAAUAGCAAAAACUACGACUUUAUUCAGCAUUGUCUUUUCUUCCGUGUCUGUUGUGAGAGAGAGAUCAAAACAAAGCAGUUUGUGAUAUCCGGUUCACGAACGAAUCAUUCGUAUCAUGUAACCCGAUCUUUUUGAACCAGUUCACCAAAUCGAACUGAAUCGUUUUAAAUGGUUCGCAUCUCUAAUACGCAUUAAUCCACAAAUGACUUAAGCUGUUAACUUUUUUAAUGUGACUGACGCUCCCUCUGAGUUCAAACAAACCAAUAUCCCGGAGUAAUUCAUUUACUCAAACAGUACACUGACUGAACUGCUGUGAAGAAAGAACUGAAGAUGAACACCGAGCCGAGCCAGAUAACGAACAAAAGAUUGACUCGUUCUCAAAUCAGAACGAUGUGAGACGCAUUAAAUGACAGAAAUUGAUUACUUCAAGUUAUUGCAGCUAAAAGUGGAUGUGCAGGCUAUUACACAUGGCUUUUAAAUUUUUACACACCAAACAAAGUAGCUUUGCAAACAAAAAUAAUGACCUUUUUCAACAAUUUCUUUUCUUUUGUGUCAGUCUUCGACACACGUUCAGGAGAGAACCACGACGCACAAGUAACUCGUGAACACUUGGGGAAGACUGACACGGAAGAGAAUACAUUUUUGAAUAAAGUAGUUAUUUUUUUGUUUUCUUUGUCUUCAUUUAAACAGUAUAUUUAUUAUUUUAUCAUAUGACAACUAGCGACUUUUUUGUGUGUCUAACUAAGUGUACGAAGUGAUUUUGGGGAUCACUGUAUACUGGCAGGAUUAAAGGCGAACGAUCAGCACACUGACACAUUCACCUUAUCCCACCUUAAGUGAUGGGGUGAAUGUGUCAGUGUGUCGAUCUGCAUCUAGAGAGCUGUGACAGGUUAUGUGCACAUUAUCUAAUCUGUCUGUGCAUCAUUCACUCUUCCAUCCCCUCACCGUUGUCUGACCCCAUGUACGUUUUUAGGCCAAUGGUUUAAAGGUUAUUGCUUUCCCUUUUAAAGCAAAACCAAACCGCAACAUUAAUUUCCCCUUAAUUCUGAUUUACUAAAAUAAUGACACCACUUGCUACCUCUAUGUAUUUAACUACAGUUAAUUUUUGCAAGCUUUUUUAUAUAACCUAGUAAUCACCUCGCUUGCACUUGCAGGCAGACAGUGCUCUCAUUCCCAGUCAGAAUGUUGUGACUGAGAGUGAGGUGGCGUAGACUUAUCUCUCUCUCUCUCUCUUUUGCCGACUGGAAAGUGGUUUAGGUGAGACUUUUUAAAGUUGCCUGUCUGGGCCACCUCAUCACAAGGCUCUCGGAAAUUCAGCCUCUCUUUCUAAGUAUACUGUGGCCUCAUUCUGAGUUCACCCCCCUCCGCCUUCCUCUCGUGGUUUCCUUUCCACUGUGUAAUUACAAGGCAGACGCCAGUCAAGGAAAUUCUGUGAUGUCAUCACACUCACUAUUGAUUAUGUAUGCAUUGCAUUUAUAUAUUGUACGCGCAUUCUGGGUGCUUUUUUUAUAUCGUGUGAACAUUCUCGGUACUUCAAGCCAAUCUACACACAGGCAAUGCUAAAUCUAUAAAUGUAUAUUGUUCUAUAAUAUUUGCUUGUGAAACCGCUAGCAUUUAUUUACUUAUUUGAUAAUUGGUGAGAUAUUUUUGUAACAACAGGUGUGCAUUAAUUGUUUCCGAAAUGGUUCUUGCAUAAUUAUUGUCACAUUACCUUUUAAUAGAAGGCCGAACGGAUGCUUGCUAAUUGAAUUAAAAUACCUGUUGUUUUGGGUUGUGUUUUGAAUGAACUGAAAUGGGGUGGUUAAGAGAAGUGAGUGGGGGCGGCGUGGACAGCUGGCCCGUCUGAUCCCCCGAGUCUGCUCUUAAAUUGGUUUUAGCAGCACUAAUAAAGCUGAUUAUCUCUCUGCUUCCAAGUCCCACUAACCCUGACACCCGGGCAGCUGGGGCCCUUGUACGCCAGCCCGGCCCCACCUCACCCGUCACAGUCUCUCUGCUUCCCUGCUUUUCUAUCUCUGCUCUUAUCAGUCUUAGCAGCUGCCAUUAAGCUUUCAUUGAUGCUUCUUGCAUCGUUUAAGGUGGCACAUGAAGCUUUAGUGUAUUUUAAUUAUGAGUGUCAAUCGAUAAAAUUUUGAUUUACGUAAAUGCAUGUUAUGAUAAUGAAUUAAUUUACAUAUAUAGAGGUAAAUGUAUUGUUUGUUUUAAUAUAACAGGACACAAGUAUAUCACUGGCCAACAUCAGCAAUUUUUUCAAUUGAGUUUGUUAUGUUUGAUGUAGCAGCAUGGUCUACUACAUAUAUUUUUGGCUCCAAUGACAAAUUGCUUGUGUUAUUCCUCGUUUGUAAGUUAAAAGCAUCUGCUAAAUGAAUAAAUGUGAAUGUAAAUGUGGACAUGAGGGCCUUUCGCAAAGAAGACAUUAUUGUGUUCUGCAUGUUUUGUUCCAUGUAAAUUUGGUUGAUUUUUGGCCUGACUGUAGCAUUUCAUUUAACCUGUUUGUGCUUAUACUAAUCCUAGAUUUGCUCAGUGACGCACCUGCUGUAGUAGUACUAUAUAUAUAUAUAUAUAUAUAUAUAUAUGUAUAUAUGUAUGUAUAAUAUAUGUAUAUAUAUGUAUGUAUAUAUAUAUAUAUAUAUAUAUAUGUAUGUAUGUAUGUAUGUAUGUAUGUGUAUAUAUAUAUAUAUAUAUAUAUAU